UUCUGGAUAGCUCAGUUGGUAGAGCAUAAGACUCUUGAUCUUGUGGGUUCGAGCCUUGACAAA
This 63-nucleotide transfer RNA is filed under the name Podarcis lilfordi (Lilford's wall lizard). RNAcentral describes it as "tRNA.Lys". The record is from RNAcentral. Lineage: Eukaryota; Metazoa; Chordata; Lepidosauria; Squamata; Lacertidae.